UACGUAGGGUGCAAGCGUUGUCCGGAAUUAUUGGGCGUAAAGAGCUCGUAGGCGGUUUGUCGCGUCGAAUGUGAAAACCCGGGGCUCAACCCCGGGCCUGCAUUCGAUACGGGCAGACUAGAGUUCGGUAGGGGAGUCUGGAAUUCCUGGUGUAGCGGUGAAAUGCGCAGAUAUCAGGAGGAACACCGGUGGCGAAGGCGGAACUCUGGGCCGAUACUGACGCUGAGGAGCGAAAGCGUGGGGAGCAAACAGG
This 253-nucleotide ribosomal RNA is filed under the name uncultured bacterium. RNAcentral's name for it is "partial 16S ribosomal RNA". It matches the Rfam family "Bacterial small subunit ribosomal RNA", at positions 524 to 776 of the family's 1533-position model. The record is from RNAcentral.